UACACUCCUGCGGGAGGCAGCAGUGGGGAAUAUUGCACAAUGGGCGCAAGCCUGAUGCAGCCAUGCCGCGUGUAUGAAGAAGGCCUUCGGGUUGUAAAGUACUUUCAGCGGGGAGGAAGGCGAUAAGGUUAAUAACCUUGUUGAUUGACGUUACCCGCAGAAGAAGCACCGGCUAACUCCGUGCCAGCAGCCGCGGUAAUACGGAGGGUGCAAGCGUUAAUCGGAAUUACUGGGCGUAAAGCGCACGCAGGCGGUCUGUCAAGUCGGAUGUGAAAUCCCCGGGCUCAACCUGGGAACUGCAUUCGAAACUGGCAGGCUAGAGGCUUGUAGAGGGGGGUAGAAUUCCAGGUGUAGCGGUGAAAUGCGUAGAGAUCUGGAGGAAUACCGGUGGCGAAGGCGGCCCCCUGGACAAAGACUGACGCUCAGGUGCGAAAGCGUGGGGAGCAAACAGGAUUAGAAACCCUAGUAGUCCC
Molecule: ribosomal RNA, 473 nt
Filed under: uncultured organism
Description: partial 16S ribosomal RNA
Rfam family: Bacterial small subunit ribosomal RNA
Source: RNAcentral